This 1590-nucleotide long non-coding RNA is filed under the name Ananas comosus (pineapple). RNAcentral describes it as "long non-coding RNA (ACOM_LNC021161)". Lineage: Eukaryota; Viridiplantae; Streptophyta; Magnoliopsida; Poales; Bromeliaceae. The record is from RNAcentral.
AAAAAUUACGAAGUAAAAAUUAUAUCUAUACUACUUAUAAAUUCUUUCGCAAAGAAUAAUUUCAAAGCAACCGCCAAUUAUUUCGUUUUUACUUUGGUCAUCUAUACCGAUUUUUUCGCAACCAAUCAUUUCAAAUAAUUCGCAACAGAUUAUUGCGUAAAACAAAUUAUGUAGUAUCUUUUUUUAAAAAAAAUAAAGCAAAUAUAUGUUAAAUUUGAAAAUGAAAUCGUAUCUUACAUUUUGAUCAGAAAGAACUAACUCUAUAAAAAAAAAACAAAGCAAAUGAAUGUUAAAUUUGAAAAUGAAAUAAUAUCUUACAUUUUGAUCAGAAAGAACUAACUCAAAACUAUUCACCAUCUCUGGGCGAUGAAAUUCAGGCAUAGUAUACAGACAAAUCACUCUAACUUUGAUCUUCCAUUUGUCUCCAAGAGGAGUGAUGUCACGUAUUGAAUCAUACCCAAGUGCCAUAUCCUGAGAAAAAUAAGACAUCCAAUAAAAAAAUUAAUACAUCAUAUUUAAAUAAUAAAAUAAAAAAAUAUAUGUUCUAUUUUAAAGCAUCAACAUUUAAGAACUAAGAAAAUUACAGGAGUGACAGUAGAGAAAACAAAAUUACGAAUGACAGUAGAGAAAAAAAAAUUACGAAGUAAAAAUUAUAUCUAUACUACUUAUAAAUUCUUUCGCAAAGAAUAAUUUCAAAGCAACCGCCAAUCAUUUCGUUUUUACUUUGGUCAUCUAUACCGAUUUUUUCGCAACCAAUCAUUUCAAAUAAUUCGCAACAGAUUAUUGCGGAUUUCGCAAUCAAUAAUUUUAAAUAAUUAAUUAUUUGCCAAUACGAAAUUUGAGUUUGACCAUUUUUUUCGCAACUAACCAUUUCAAAUAAUUCGCAACAGAUUAUUGCUUAUUUCGCAACCAAUAAUUUUAAACAAUUAAUUAUCUGCCAAUACGAAAUUUGAGUUUUACUGUUAUCUGCCAAUACGAAAUUUGAGUUUGACCGUUAGAUUAUUGAUUUCGAAAGCAAUAAUUUUAAAUAAUUAAUUAUCUGCCAAUACGAAAUUUAAGUUUGACCCUUUUUUUCGCAACUAACCAUUUCAAAUAAUUCACAACAGAUUAUUGCUUAUUUCGCAACCAAUAAUUUUAAACAAUUAAUUAUCUGCCAAUACGAAAUUUGAGUUUUACUGUUAUCUGCCAAUACGAAAUUUGAGUUUGACCGUUAGAUUAUUGAUUUCGAAAGCAAUAAUUUUAAAUAAUUAAUUAUCUGCCAAUACGAAAUUUAAGUUUGACCCUUUUUUUCGCAACUAACCAUUUCAAAUAAUUCACAACAGAUUAUUGCUUAUUUCGCAACCAAUAAUUUUAAAUAAUUAAUUAUCUGCCAAUACGAAAUUUGAGUUUGCAACAGAUUAUUUCCAUUGCGAAAAAAUAAUUCGCAACAGAUUAUUACGUAUUUCGCAACCAAUAAUUUUAAAGUAACGUGUCAGCUUCUCACAUAGGGUUCAUUAAGGGUUCUACUUUUAUAUAUAGUAAUAGAUUAGUUAUAAUAGAAAGGGUGACUACAGAAAAAUAAUUUGAUUGGUGAGUAUUAUCAAAGAGUGA